This 116-nucleotide ribosomal RNA is filed under the name Escherichia coli. Its description in RNAcentral is "partial 23S ribosomal RNA". The record is from RNAcentral. Lineage: Bacteria; Pseudomonadati; Pseudomonadota; Gammaproteobacteria; Enterobacterales; Enterobacteriaceae.
GGGGACGGAGAAGGCUAUGUUGGCCGGGCGACGGUUGUCCCGGUUUAAGCGUGUAGGCUGGUUUUCCAGGCAAAUCCGGAAAAUCAAGGCUGAGGUGUGAUGACGAGGCACUACGG